CUACGGGCCGCAGCAGUGAGGAAUAUUGCACAAUGGGGGGAACCCUGAUGCAGCAACGCCGCGUGGAGGAUGACGCAUUUCGGUGUGUAAACUCCUUUUAUAUGUCAAGAAAAUGACGGUAGCAUAUGAAUAAGCACCGGCUAACUCCGUGCCGGCAGCCGCGGUAAUACGGAGGGUGCAAGCGUUACUCGGAAUCACUGGGCGUAAAGGACGCGUAGGCGGGUUGGAAAGUCAGGUGUGAAAUCCCACAGCUUAACUGUAGAACUGCACUUGAAACUUCUAAUCUAGAGUAUAGGAGGGGGAGAUGGAAUUAGUGGUGUAGGGGUAAAAUCCGUAGAUAUCACUAGGAAUACCUAAAGCGAAGGCGAUCUCCUGGAACAUUACUGACGCUAAGGCGUGAAAGCGUGGGGAGCAAACAGGAUUAGAUACCCUCGUAGUC
Molecule: ribosomal RNA, 439 nt
Filed under: uncultured bacterium
Lineage: Bacteria
Description: partial 16S ribosomal RNA
Rfam family: Bacterial small subunit ribosomal RNA
Source: RNAcentral